AAGAAAUUAGUUAAAUUAUAACAUUAGUUUGUCAAGCUAAAAUUAUCUUAUAGAUAUUUCUUA
Molecule: transfer RNA, 63 nt
Filed under: Latreillia valida
Lineage: Eukaryota; Metazoa; Arthropoda; Malacostraca; Decapoda; Latreilliidae
Description: tRNA-Asp
Source: RNAcentral